RNAcentral lists this ribosomal RNA (440 nucleotides) under uncultured bacterium. RNAcentral describes it as "partial 16S ribosomal RNA". It matches the Rfam family "Bacterial small subunit ribosomal RNA", at positions 338 to 795 of the family's 1533-position model. The record is from RNAcentral.
CCUACGGGAGGCAGCAGUAGGGAAUAUUGCUCAAUGGGGGAAACCCUGAAGCAGCAACGCCGCGUGGAGGAUGAAGGUUUUCGGAUUGGAAACUCCUUUUGUUAGAGAAGAAAAUGACGGUAUCUAACGAAUAAGCACCGGAUAACUCCGUGACAGCAGCCGUGGUAAUACGGAGGGUGCAAGCGUUACUCGGAAUCACUGGGCGUAAAGAGCGCGUAGGCGGGUUAGCAAGUCAGAUGUGAAAUCCUAUGGCUUAACCAUAGAAUUGCAUUUGAAACUGUUAUUCUAGAGUAUGGGAGAGGUAGGUGGAAUUCUUGGUGUAGGGGUAAAAUCCGUAGAGAUCAAGAAGAAUACUCAUUGCGAAGGCGGCCUACUAGAACAUAACUGACGCUGAUGCGCGAAAGCGUGGGGAGCAAACAGGAUUAGAUACCCGGGUAGUC